This 85-nucleotide non-coding RNA is filed under the name chicken gut metagenome. The record is from RNAcentral.
UUAUACAGGGGAGCUUUUGCUGAGAGGAAGUUCGACUUCGACCCUUAUACCUGAUUUGGGUAAUGCCAACGCAGGGAGGAGCUUG